This 253-nucleotide ribosomal RNA is filed under the name uncultured bacterium. RNAcentral's name for it is "partial 16S ribosomal RNA". It matches the Rfam family "Bacterial small subunit ribosomal RNA", at positions 524 to 776 of the family's 1533-position model. The record is from RNAcentral.
UACAGAGGGUGCGAGCGUUGUUCGGAAUUAUUGGGCGUAAAGCGCGAGUAGGCGGCCUGUUAAGUCGCGUGUGAAAGCUCCCAGCUCAACUGGGAAAGUGCGCGCGAAACUGGCGGGCUUGAGUGCCAGAGAGGGUGGCGGAAUUCCCGGUGUAGAGGUGAAAUUCGUAGAUAUCGGGAGGAACACCAGAGGCGAAGGCGGCCACCUGGAGGGACACUGACGCUGAGAAGCGAAAGCGUGGGGAGCAAACAGG